CAAAGACACAUGAGUCAAAUGGGAUCUUUCGGUUGAUUUUGGUCAUGUACUUUCAGACACUCACACAGCAACAGCAGAUGAAGACAAUGCAGAGGCCCUGCAGCACACCAGCGGUCCCCACCACCCAGGUCAGACGCAGAAACAAGAUGACGCCAAAGAUGUUCUGCAAGCACGGCAGGUAGACGCCCAUGAAAGUCCCCAUCUGCGGCGACUGAGGAGGUAAAGACCGAACAUUCAAUGAAGGUUUCUGCCAUUACCACACACCAAACUGAAAUUAAUGCAAUGUUUUCUAGCAUGCAAUGUUGAAAUAGCGAUGUCAGGAUAGAGCAAAAUCUCCUUUUUACAACACAACAGCCUUAUCUCUGGCUGGGGGGUCCUUAUCAGCAAGAUUGCCAUGCAGGGCAGGCUCACACUUUCACUUAAGACAAAUUUUCAUCCAUCAAUCAGAGUAUUUCACCAAAUCAGAUUGUGAGGAAUUCACAGUGGCUUCCUACUACAACCAUGCCACCAUAUUGUACCACAAACAAUCAGGCAUGAGCAUUGAAAUGGACACUGAAAAUCACUAGAAUUUCUGUUUAUUUCAGAAAACACGGUUCUUAGGUGUACAUGGGGCUCUUGUAAAGAGAUUGGAAGGAGCAAAACUCAUCCCAUUUCUAAAACUGAAGACAAACUCAGAGAAGUGUAUUGGAUCAAAGCUUGUGGAAGACCGCAUUUUCAACUGAACAUGAAAAUCAACAAGCACACGGCGAUAUGUUUCGAAGGUUAGUUCAGUAACUGAACAAUUAAAGGAACGUUAAGGAAAUCCUAUCGAUACAGCAUUACGUCCAUGAAUACAAAGGAUGACACGGUUUACUUUGCUCUAAUAGUUGUUUUGAUUGUCAACAACACAGAGACCUAUGUUUCUAGCUACAGCCUACAGGCCUACCAAAGAAAUAUAUUUUUUUAUUGAAUGGUAAAAGGUAACUUGUGGUGGAACACAACAAUUUUUACGUAACACUCCUAUAAUGUGACUAUCAAUCACGGUGAUUACAUUUAGUAACAAUGAAAGCAUGAGAUAUCUUCAAUUCUUCCCCAAGAAAUUUGAAUGGGCAGUCUAUGUGCUGGCUCAUCUUUCUGCAUUGACUGCAAGGACUUCACAUUCACAUGCACAUCACAAUUUCUGCCUUCCAAACACAAAUUCCAUGAAAGUAGCCUUUGGUUAAGUAGUUUAUCCCUCUCUCAAGUGAUCACUGCGAUCGAUUUUCAGUAUAGGAAAGCAAAGUUAUUCUAAUUUUGUCUGAAAUGCAAGCAAGUGUUUGCUGAUCGCCUGCCAUCUUCGAGAAAAGCAUGUGGGACAAGACAACAGUAUACGAGCUUAACAUUCAUUGGACCCGUCCACUUCGGUACGGCUUGCAGAGGAAACUCUUGAUGAAGACAAUAUUUAGUUUUUUUACUUCUACCCAUUCAGGAACUGAUUGUCUCUGUCUGUCAAUCUGUGUUUAGUUUUGCCCUAGGCAGCCUGCCACUGUCAGUUGGUAUCCCAAUGGAAGGCGACCAAAAAGUGUUUCGGAAUUUAGCUCUUCCUUUUGGUACAGUAAUACCUGAAAAAUAUGUUUCAUCUAUGAAUUUCAGAUUGUAUAAAGGAUUAAUUGUUACCUUGCUGACUUUCUUCUUUUCACCGAUGCUCUCAGCCUCCUCGUGCUCCUUGGCCCCCUGCGUCAAAUUGGUGUAGUUGGCCAGCCGACUGAGCAGAGACGACACUUUAGGCCGGGUGUCCAUCUCCUCCUGUGUUUGUGUGUGAGAGAGGCAGGAUGACGCUGUCAACAACGAAGACAUCGGAUGUCACACUUUUCACAAACCUCAAAAAGGGCCAGGUUUCUGUCGUACAAGUCAUCAUCAUCCACGCCAUGGCUGUUGUUGAUAUACACGCUGGAGAUUUUAGAAUUUCCAUCCCCUGCAAAGGCAGAAGAAAGCAAAACUGAAAGCGAGGGAUGGCCAUUUAGCUCAAAUGGACGGGAGCGUGUGUUGUUUCUAGGCCAGCAGGUAGAUCAGCAACAGCAGCACCUGAGUCAGCAACAUGACUUUCCUCUAUGCCACACUAAAACUCACACAGGGGUCACAUUCUCAUACUGCCUUUUUUGCUUGUCAAAACCCAUCAUCUCAAGACCGUGUUAAAGUCAACACAACACUGGUUAAUAAUCAGACGCUGAGAUUUGGUAGGAAAAGAUUAAUGGACACACACAUGCUAUCAUAGAGGUGAACCAGUUGAUCCGGCUGGACAACUAAUUUAUGUCAUACUGAUUAGACUUUGGCCUUCUACUUUACGCAAAAGACAAUUCAUCAAAUAAAAGUUUGGUUUUGGACAUCAGAGGUCACCACACCUGUGUAGAAUGCACCUGGCAUCACUCUUUGGAGACGAGGAGCACCACGCUACUCCGAGGGCUUCUUUCGCAACUGAGGGACGAUGUAGAAAUGCUGUGCACCACGCUCGUAGGGAUUAAGCGCCUUCAUUUCUAUUUACGGAAGCUUAUCAAAACUGUGUGGGACAUUCUUACUCCAUACUAUGCCUAAGUGGAUCAUGGUAACGUCACUGUUGUUAAAUCCUUUGUGUGAACAAGCAGGGAAGGCAAGUGUUGACUUAAUAUCUCACAAGAAAACUUUUGCUGGCUCUUGGCUCAAAUGCUGAGUAAGGAAACCAAAAAAAAGUGCUUUUUCAACAAACAUGGUUGAAAGCAGAACUUGUCCCUUUGCCUAGCUGCGACUUCCAUGGUGGUGUGACAAGGUUAAGACAAACAUACAGUAACUAUACUCCCCAAGUCAUUGACCAUUUGCCUAAUGAUUAGAUAACUUUGAAAAUAUUGGUGUGUGUAUAUUGUAUGUCUUCAUAGCAUUUUGACGACAACUCAUAUGAGGCACUACAAACGUCUUUAACAUUCAUUCAGUUUGAAAGGUAAUUAAUUCUGAUGUAGCUGCUCAAAUCCAAAUCCAUUUUGGAUUAGCAGAACAAAUAAGGCAGGCUGUCAUGCACACAAGAAUGUAUUUUCUCUCCUCAUGUGCUCACCUUGCUCCAUAUUGCUGUGGCAUGGAAUUUCUGUCCCGCCUCCUCCCGCUGUUGUCGUGAGUCCUCCAGAGGCAUCACUAUGAGGCUCGCUUCGGCUGACGCUUUCCCGGGAACCAAAGCGUACGUGAGUACCAGAACGAGACCCGAUUUCAGGCGAGGUGUCUGGCAGCCCAGGGAGGUCCUCUGCCUUGGUGGGUGUCACUGUGAACCGUACGGACGCCAUGGCGAGGCCCUUGGAAAAGAAAGGGGUGCAGGGAGGGAAAAGGGUGAGGGGGUUGGUUGGUGCGAGGUGUCACAGGCACGGCUGAGGCAAAGUGAGCUGGGCUUAUGCGCUCAGGUGACGGUCAGGUAAUUGUUUUUUUUCCAGCAUUGAUUCUCCAUGAAGGCAACAGUUUCUUUUGUUGUCUCUUUUUUGCUGGGGCAGGGACAUGGGCAGAUGCAGGAACAGGGGUUGGUGCAAAUGCAAGGGCAAGGAGUUGUCACAGGUUCCCAAGCUAGGACAGGAGAAGGCACAAAGACAGGGGUAGUAUUAGGGGCAUGUAUAUAGGCAGGAGCAGGGCCAAGGGGUAGUUAUAGGGAAAUGAGCAGGGAAGUAAAAGGGUCAGGGUCAUGGUCAAGGGAAAGGUGUUGUUGUCAUAGGUGCAACAGCAAGGAUGAGACGACAGUGGCCAGAAGAAAAUGUUUGUGUCAUUGAGAACGUAAGGAACAACGUUAUGGGAACCAAUAUUGCAGCAGGAAAAGGAACAUUGGUCAAGGAUUGCAGCACGACGAACAGGAACAAGGGGACACGGUUGGUUAUGUUCACGUGUCAUCAGAAGUGAAGGUCAAUCCCAGAAAAAAAGACACAAAAUGAAGCAAAAGUUAGUUUAAAAUCAGAAAUUGUUUGUGUCAGCAGUGAGAGGUAUGACCCACUGCAACUCACUGAGAUCUUAGAUAAACAUUGACAAACAAUGACAUAUUUCAAUGCAAAUUAGGACGUACAUUAUUUAUUAGUGACUGAGUGCGAAGCCCCUAAAAAUCUAAAACAUCUACAAAAAUGACUGACCGAGGCAUUCACUCAAACAGAACGACGUCAAACAAUAACUGGGGGGUGUGAGGUUUAGCCUGACAUCCGUGGCAGGUGGACCAGAUGCGGCUCGGCUGACUUGGAAAAUUACUCAAGGAGAGCGGUUCUAACCGGUCCGGCCAGUUACCGCUGGCUUGGGGAAAAGAAAGCAGAGGCUUGCUUGUUUUGCAAGGCUGUAUUAAUUUAAGAGGAGGCAGCUAGUUUCCAUCUGCUGCAAUACUCAUUUGUCAUGUCACAUUUCUUUGUAUUUUUUUUGACAAAAAAACAACUGUGGAAUGAGUGUUGGGUGACAGGGCCCUUUUUAUGUUGAAAAAAACCUCAGCGACGCUGACAGUCACAACUUCUGCAUAUUUACCCUGAGGAAUCAAUUCUUCACUUGUCAUGUCUGCAUGUUCUAGUUAAUAGACGGCCAAGGUUAAAUAAUGUUUAAUGACUUUCUAAUGUUGAGCUAUUCAGGGUAGGUUUCUUUUAACAGAGGUAGCCAGGAUAUCAACAAACAUCCUGAAAAAAAUUUAAAUACCAGUUCUAAAUUAAAUUGAAUUGAUUAUGUGAAAUAAGUAUUUGAUCCAAGAAUUCUGACACUGAUAGAACCACUCUAAUCAGUCCAGUCUUGUUUGCAGAAACAAAGGAAUGGCUCCAGAAGAAGCACAUCAGAUCCUCUGGUGCCUUUGCCGGUCUCAUGACCUGCAUCUCAUAAAAAAACCAACACUGUGACGGAAGCAGGAUUUGCCAAGCAAGAGCCUCAAAACUGUGAAGAUUUGAAGAGUAAUCUGAAAGGAUGAGUGGACGAAAAACACCUGAUGAGCUGCUGGCUCUCCGCCAAACUGUGGUCCGCAUGGAGAGACCGGAGCAGAUGCGGAGGAAAAGACAAGGCUAUGGAGCUAGCGUUAAGCGUGGGAAUAUAUGAGCUUCACGUAGCUGAAUGAGCACGAAUCGGACACGUCAGUCUCCCUGAACAGACUCCCGCUCAUCCGCGCGGAUCGGACACUGGCCAGGGGCUAGGGAGCAGUCUACGAAGGACUCUCUUAAUUGCUUUGUUGGGUCUGUUCCGGUGUAUGGCUGUGCUGCCAUGCCCGCACCUCACCUCAGCAGAUGAUGGCGUGGAGCACAGCAGAGGCCACCAUGGUGUGUAUGGGUGUUGAGAUUGUGUUUUUGCUUUGUUUUGUUGUUCAAAAGUUAUUUUUUUCAAAAUAAAUAAGAAAUUAAUAUUUUUCUGUAGAAUUUAACAAAAUAACUCAUGUGCAAAUAACACAAGAAUGUAACAUUUAGUAACAUGUGACAUUAACUUAUUACAAGUCUUAUGAAAACCUAAAAUUGAAAAUCUCAGAAAAUGUAAGGUUUUAAAAACUGUAAACAAAGAUCUUGAAAAUGAUAAAUAAAAGCUUGACAUAUCUCA
Molecule: long non-coding RNA, 5502 nt
Organism: Nerophis ophidion (straightnose pipefish)
Lineage: Eukaryota; Metazoa; Chordata; Actinopteri; Syngnathiformes; Syngnathidae
Exons: 2
Source: RefSeq, a predicted model, not a curated record